RNAcentral lists this ribosomal RNA (439 nucleotides) under uncultured bacterium. Its description in RNAcentral is "partial 16S ribosomal RNA". It matches the Rfam family "Bacterial small subunit ribosomal RNA", at positions 338 to 795 of the family's 1533-position model. The record is from RNAcentral.
CCUACGGGAGGCAGCAGUGGGGAAUAUUGCACAAUGGGCGAAAGCCUGAUGCAGCAACGCCGCGUGAGCGAUGAAGGCCUUCGGGUCGUAAAGCUCUGUCCUCAGGGAAGAUAAUGACGGUACUUGAGGAGGAUUCCCCGGCUAACUACGUGCCAGCAACCGCGGUAAUAAGUGGGCGGCUAGCGUUAUCCGGAAUUACUGGGCGUAAGGGGUGCGUAGGUGGUUUCUUGGGUCAGGGGUGAAGGGUUAGGGACAAACAGUAGUAAGCCUUUGAAACUGGGAAACUUGAGUGCAGGAGAGGAGAGUGGAAUUCCUGGUGUAGCGGUGAAAUGCGUAGAUAUUAGGAGGAACACCAGUUGCGAAGGCGGCUCUCUGGACUGUAACUGACACUGAGGCACGAAAGCGUGGGGAGCAAACAGGAUUAGAUACCCCAGUAGUC